UGGGGAAUAUUGGACAAUGGGGGGAACCCUGAUCCAGCCAUGCCGCGUGUGUGAAGAAGGCCUUAUGGUUGUAAAGCACUUUAAGCGAGGAGGAGGGUACUGGUAUUAAUACUACCAGGUACUGGACGUUACUCGCAGAAUAAGCACCGGCUAACUCUGUGCCAGCAGCCGCGGUAAUACAGAGGGUGCGAGCGUUAAUCGGAUUUACUGGGCGUAAAGCGUGCGUAGGCGGCUAAUUGAGUCGGAUGUGAAAUCCCCGAGCUUAACUUGGGAAUUGCAUUCGAUACUGGUUAGCUAGAGUGUGGGAGAUGAUGGUAGAAUUCCAGGUGUAGCGGUGAAAUGCUUAGCGAUCUGGAGGAAUACCGAUGGCGAAGUCAGCCAUCUGGCCUAACACUGACGCUGAGGUACGAAAGCAUGGGUAGCAAACAGG
RNAcentral lists this ribosomal RNA (430 nucleotides) under Pseudomonadota bacterium. Its description in RNAcentral is "Proteobacteria bacterium partial 16S ribosomal RNA". It matches the Rfam family "Bacterial small subunit ribosomal RNA", at positions 355 to 776 of the family's 1533-position model. Lineage: Bacteria; Pseudomonadati; Pseudomonadota. The record is from RNAcentral.